Molecule: ribosomal RNA, 497 nt
Filed under: uncultured bacterium
Lineage: Bacteria
Description: partial 16S ribosomal RNA
Rfam family: Bacterial small subunit ribosomal RNA
Source: RNAcentral
GAUGAACGCUGGCGGCGUGCCUAAUACAUGCAAGUCGAGCGAACAGACGAGGAGCUUGCUCCUCUGACGUUAGCGGCGGACGGGUGAGUAACACGUGGAUAACCUACCUAUAAGACUGGGAUAACUUCGGGAAACCGGAGCUAAUACCGGAUAAUAUAUUGAACCGCAUGGUUCAAUAGUGAAAGACGGUUUUGCUGUCACUUAUAGAUGGAUCCGCGCCGCAUUAGCUAGUUGGUAAGGUAACGGCUUACCAAGGCAACGAUGCGUAGCCGACCUGAGAGGGUGAUCGGCCACACUGGAACUGAGACACGGUCCAGACUCCUGCGGGAGGCAGCAGUAGGGAAUCUUCCGCAAUGGGGGGAAACCUGACGGAGCAACGGCGCGUGGGUGGUGGAAGUCUUCGGAUCGUAAAACUCUGUUAUUAGGGAAAAACAAAUUUGUAAGUAACUAUGCACGUCUUGACGGUACCUAAUCAGGAAGCCACGGCUAACUACGUG